RNAcentral lists this unclassified non-coding RNA (202 nucleotides) under plant metagenome. RNAcentral's name for it is "partial contains small subunit ribosomal RNA, internal transcribed spacer 1, and 5.8S ribosomal RNA". The record is from RNAcentral.
UUUCCGUAGGUGAACCUGCGGAAGGAUCAUUAACAAGUACUGCUUUUGGUGCUGCCUAACUCAGAAUCAAUUCUGUGUGCAACACUGGCACGUUCACUUACGAACCAUGCGAAUUAGCGUGUGCAUGACAUUCCUUCUAGUCGUAUGCUUUUAACGUUUACAACUUUAAACAAAACUUUUAACAAUGGAUCUCUAGGCUCUU